CUACACCUCUAAUCCGAACUAAUAAUCCUGAUAUUAUUGAUCUAACCCCGAUUAGUCCAUUACUAGCCUAAAGGUACUAACAUCUAACUGUUAGUCACUGGGUACUAUCCUGGCCGCUGGUCUGACCUGGUCACCUAUUACAGUAGAAGGUCUUAAUUAAUGGUACAGUCUAUUACAGUAGAAGGUCUUAGUUAAUGGUUACAGCCUAUUACAGUAGAAGGUCUGGUCUUAGUUAAUGGUUACAGCCUAUUACAGUAGACGGUCUUAGUUAGUGGUUACAGCCUAUUACAGUAGAAGGUCUUAGUUAAUGGUUACAGUCUAUUACAGUAGAAGGUCUUAGUUAAUGGUUACAGCCUAUUACAGUAGAAGGUCUUAGUUAGUGGUUACAGCCUAUUACAGUAGACGGUCUUAGUUAGUGGUUAGUCUAUUACAGUAGAAGGUCUUAGUUAAUGGUACAGUCUAUUACAGUAGAAGGUCUUAGUUAAUGGUUACAGCCUAUUACAGUAGAAGGUCUUAGUUAGUGGUUACAGCCUAUUACAGUAGACGGUCUUAGUUAGUGGUUACAGUCUAUUACAGUAGAAGGUCUUAGUUAAUGGUACAGUCUAUUACAGUAGAAGGUCUUAGUUAAUGGUUAUAGCCUAUUACAGUAGAAGGUCUGGUCUUAGUUAAUGGUUACAGCCUAUUACAGUAGAAGGUCUUAGUUAAUGGUUACAGUCUAUUACAGUAGGUCUUAGUUAAUGGUUACAGUCUAUUACAGUAGAAGGUCUUAGUUAAUGGUUACAGCCUAUUACAGUAGAAGGUCUUAGUUAAUGGUUACAGCCUAUUACAGUAGAAGGUCUGGUCUUAGUUAAUGGUUACAGCCUAUUACAGUAGACGGUCUUAGUUAGUGGUUACAGCCUAUUACAGUAGAAGGUCUUAGUUAAUGGUUAGUCUAUUACAGUAGAAGGUCUUAGUUAAUGGUUAGUCUAUUACAGUAGAAGGUCUUAGUUAGUGGUUACAGUCUAUUACAGUAGAUGGUCUUAGUUAAUGGUUACAGUCUAUUACAGUAGAAGGUCUUAGUUAAUGGUUACAGUCUAUUACAGUAGAAGGUCUUAGUUAAUGGUUACAGUCUAUUACAGUAGAAGGUCUUAGUUAAUGGUACAGUCUAUUACAGUAGAAGGUCUUAGUUAAUGGUUACAGUCUAUUACAGUAGAAGGUCUUAGUUAAUGGUUACAGUCUAUUCCAGUAGAAGGUCUGGUCUUAGUUAAUGGUUACAGCCUAUUACAGUAGACGGUCUUAGUUAGUGGUUACAGUCUAUUACAGUAGGUCUUAAUUAAUGGUACAGUCUAUUACAGUAGAAGGUCUUAGUUAAUGGUUACAGCCUAUUACAGUAGAAGGUCUGGUCUUAGUUAAUGGUUACAGCCUAUUACAGUAGACGGUCUUAGUUAGUGGUUACAGCCUAUUACAGUAGAAGGUCUUAGUUAAUGGUUAGUCUAUUACAGUAGAAGGUCUUAGUUAAUGGUUAGUCUAUUACAGUAGAAGGUCUUAGUUAGUGGUUACAGUCUAUUACAGUAGAAGGUCUUAGUUAAUGGUUACAGUCUAUUACAGUAGAAGGUCUUAGUUAAUGGUUACAGUCUAUUACAGUAGAAGGUCUUAGUUAAUGGUUACAGUCUAUUACAGUAGAAGGUCUUAGUUAAUGGUACAGUCUAUUACAGUAGAAGGUCUUAGUUAAUGGUUACAGUCUAUUACAGUAGAAGGUCUUAGUUAAUGGUUACAGUCUAUUCCAGUAGAAGGUCUUAGUUAAUGGUUACAGUCUAUUACAGUAGAAGGUCUGGUCUUAGUUAAUGGUUACAGCCCAUUACAGUAGAAGGUC
Molecule: non-coding RNA, 1852 nt
Organism: Oncorhynchus mykiss (rainbow trout)
Lineage: Eukaryota; Metazoa; Chordata; Actinopteri; Salmoniformes; Salmonidae
Source: RefSeq, a predicted model, not a curated record